GCCCCUGUAGCAUAGUUGGUUCAAUGCAGCUUCUUUGUAAGUAGCAGAUCGUGGGUUCAAAUCCCAUUUGGGGCU
RNAcentral lists this transfer RNA (75 nucleotides) under Promethearchaeota archaeon. RNAcentral's name for it is "Candidatus Lokiarchaeota archaeon (permafrost metagenome) tRNA-Thr". It matches the Rfam family "tRNA". From Rfam's summary of the family: Transfer RNA (tRNA) molecules are approximately 80 nucleotides in length. Their secondary structure includes four short double-helical elements and three loops (D, anti-codon, and T loops). Further hydrogen bonds mediate the characteristic L-shaped molecular structure. tRNAs have two regions of fundamental functional importance: the anti-codon, which is responsible for specific mRNA codon recognition, and the 3' end, to which the tRNAs corresponding amino acid is attached (by aminoacyl-tRNA synthetases). tRNAs cope with the degeneracy of the genetic code in two manners: having more than one tRNA (with a specific anti-codon) for a particular amino acid; and 'wobble' base-pairing, i.e. permitting non-standard base-pairing at the 3rd anti-codon position. Lineage: Archaea; Promethearchaeati; Promethearchaeota. The record is from RNAcentral.